This 400-nucleotide long non-coding RNA is filed under the name Mytilus galloprovincialis (Mediterranean mussel). The record is from RNAcentral. Lineage: Eukaryota; Metazoa; Mollusca; Bivalvia; Mytilida; Mytilidae.
GAUGGAAUUAUUUUCACAAAAAAUUACAAAAGCUAAAAAUGAAGCAAAUAUGAUAUACAGCAACUAUCAACAACCACUUCAUUACAGGCUAAGCUUUUUUGACAUAUGAGUUUGAAUGUUCCUUGGUAUCUUUCGUCUCCCUUUUAACCGUCACAAAAACUUUACCACAUCAAUUGUGUGAUGCAAUAUAACCAUAGGCGGUGUCAUCAGGUGUGAAUUAUUGAAAAAUUUACCGAUCUAAUGUUCAUCACACAUUUUACAAUUUUAAUAAAAACAAAGGAGUAAUAAAUGCGUUGAUUUUCUUACGCUACACUUUACUGUCCUCGUUACUUUAUUGAAGUAUUAAGUACAUCGUCUCAUUAAGCAGAGUUUUAUUUAUAAUAGUUCUUUGGUACACAUA